UCUCUAUCAGUGUGAUCUGUAGCUAAAAUAUCCUGUGAAAGAGGUGGUGGAGGAAGUCGGUCUCUAUCAGUGUGAUCUGUAGCUAAAAUAUCCUGUGAAAGAGGUGGUGGAGGAAGUCGGUCUCUAUCAGUGUGAUCUGUAGCUAAAAUAUCCUGUGAAAGAGGUGGUGGAGGAAGUCGGUCUCUAUCAGUGUGAUCUGUAGCUAAAAUAUCCUGUGAAAGAGGUGGUGGAGGAAGUCGGUCUCUAUCAGUGUGAUCUGUAGCUAAAAUAUCCUGUGAAAGAGGUGGUGGAGGAAGUCGGUCUCUAUCAGUGUGAUCUGUAGCUAAAAUAUCGUGUGAAAGAGGUGGUGGAGGAAGUCGUUAUCUAUCCAUCACUCUCCAGUCAGCUCCAAGCCAUACUGUCGUCAGUUUACAGGUGAGUGUUGAAUACAUUAAACAGCCAUGGCCCUGGCAAUGUCCAGGCUUUUUCUCAUACAAUUACUCCACACCGGCAGAUGUCUCCAUGCUAGUAUUCUUCAAGGUCCUACCUCUUCCAAACAAAUCAUAACAAUCCAGGUAUCUCAAAUAAACAAUCUGAGCUGAGAUUUGACUGAGACAGAAUGGCACCAGACAAACCAGCAUCGCUGAAAGGUACGGUCUUGGUUAGCAACAGUGCAUUAUGGGUCAUGCAAAGCCUAGAGGCGGUGGGUGCAUCUAAGGGUGCAGAGUGCAGCCGUGAGCGAGCAGGAAGAACCCUACAGAGCUGCAGCAACGUGUGCAUUCACCUGGAGGCUCAAGGAGACUAGAGGCCUUGUCAUAGAAAGAGGCUCUCUGAAAGGUCUGAAUGUCUACAGCUCAGAAACAGAGAGAGGGGAGGAUGUGAAGGACAACUCAGCUUCACAUAAUCAUCCAUGCAGACACAGAUUUAUU
This is a long non-coding RNA of Oncorhynchus keta (chum salmon), 908 nucleotides long. RefSeq lists it as uncharacterized. NCBI's taxonomy places the organism in Eukaryota, Metazoa, Chordata, Actinopteri, Salmoniformes, Salmonidae. The transcript has 4 exons. The record is from RefSeq and is a predicted model, not a curated record.